Molecule: ribosomal RNA, 562 nt
Filed under: Lovenella assimilis
Lineage: Eukaryota; Metazoa; Cnidaria; Hydrozoa; Leptothecata; Campanulariidae
Description: partial large subunit ribosomal RNA
Rfam family: Bacterial large subunit ribosomal RNA
Source: RNAcentral
AAAAACAUAGCCCUAGACAUAAUCUAAGGUGUAACCUGCCCAGUGAUCUUUAAGUUAAAGGACUAAACGCCUGUAAAAAGAUUAAAAGGACGCGGUAACCUUGACCGUGGUAAUGUAGCAUAAUCACUCGCCAUUUAAUUGGUGGAUAGUAUGAAUGGUUGAACGAAUAUUCCACUGUCUUAGAAAGAACUAAAUAAAAUUGAAAUAAUAGUUAAGAUGCUAUUUCAAACUGUAAGACGAAAAGACCCUAUAGAGCUUAACUAUAAUCUUUAUGUAUCUCAAAGAAAAUAAUCUUACAACCAUAAAGAUUGGUAGUUUAGUUGGGGCGACUGUCUUCUAAAUUUAACGAAGACAAGCAAUGUAAUAAUUAACUUAUUGUAUAAUAAAAAAAUUUAACAAUUAUUAAAGUAGGCUAUAAUGACCCGUUAAAGUAUUGAAAAUUAUUUAACGAUUAAUUAAUAAAAGCUACCUUAGGGAUAACAGGAUAAUUUUAUCUUAGAGUUCUUAUCGAAGAUAAAGUUUGUCACCUCUAUGUUGAAUUAAGAUAUCCUGGUAAUGCAGA